Molecule: ribosomal RNA, 3170 nt
Filed under: Streptomyces sp. SS1-1
Lineage: Bacteria; Bacillati; Actinomycetota; Actinomycetes; Kitasatosporales; Streptomycetaceae
Description: 23S ribosomal RNA
Rfam family: Bacterial large subunit ribosomal RNA
Source: RNAcentral
ACAGUGGACGCGAGCAUCUGUGGCCAAGUUUUUAAGGGCGCACGGUGGAUGCCUUGGCACCAGGAACCGAUGAAGGACGUGGGAGGCCACGAUAGUCCCCGGGGAGUCGUCAACCAGGCUUUGAUCCGGGGGUUUCCGAAUGGGGAAACCCGGCAGUCGUCAUGGGCUGUCACCCGCUGCUGAACACAUAGGCAGUGUGGAGGGAACGCGGGAAGUGAAACAUCUCAGUACCCGCAGGAAGAGAAAACAACCGUGAUUCCGGGAGUAGUGGCGAGCGAAACCGGAUGAGGCCAAACCGUAUGCGUGUGAGACCCGGCAGGGGUUGCGUAUUCGGGGUUGUGGGAUCUCUCUUGAUCAGUCUGCCGGCUGGUCGACGAGUCAGAAACCGUUGAUGUAGGCGAAGGACAUGCGAAAGGUCCGGCGUAGAGGGUAAGACCCCCGUAGUCGAAACGUCAGCGGCUCGUUUGGGAGACACCCAAGUAGCACGGGGCCCGAGAAAUCCCGUGUGAAUCUGGCGGGACCACCCGCUAAGCCUAAAUAUUCCCUGGUGACCGAUAGCGGAUAGUACCGUGAGGGAAUGGUGAAAAGUACCGCGGGAGCGGAGUGAAAUAGUACCUGAAACCGUGUGCCUACAAGCCGUGGGAGCGUCGGGCAAGCACUUGUGCUUGCCUCGUGACUGCGUGCCUUUUGAAGAAUGAGCCUGCGAGUUUGCGGUGUGUUGCGAGGUUAACCCGUGUGGGGAAGCCGUAGCGAAAGCGAGUCCGAAUAGGGCGAUAUAGUAGCGCGCUCAAGACCCGAAGCGGAGUGAUCUAGCCAUGGGCAGGUUGAAGCGGAGGUAAGACUUCGUGGAGGACCGAACCCACCAGGGUUGAAAACCUGGGGGAUGACCUGUGGUUAGGGGUGAAAGGCCAAUCAAACUCCGUGAUAGCUGGUUCUCCCCGAAAUGCAUUUAGGUGCAGCGUCGUGUGUUUCUUGCCGGAGGUAGAGCACUGGAUAGGCGAUGGGCCCUACCGGGUUACUGACCUUAGCCAAACUCCGAAUGCCGGUAAGUGAGAGCGCGGCAGUGAGACUGUGGGGGAUAAGCUCCAUGGUCGAGAGGGAAACAGCCCAGAGCAUCGACUAAGGCCCCUAAGCGUACGCUAAGUGGGAAAGGAUGUGGAGUCGCAGAGACAACCAGGAGGUUGGCUUAGAAGCAGCCACCCUUGAAAGAGUGCGUAAUAGCUCACUGGUCUAGUGAUUCCGCGCCGACAAUGUAGCGGGGCUCAAGCGUACCGCCGAAGUCGUGUCAUUCCAGCAUGUACUCCCAACGGAGGCUGGGAUGGGUAGGGGAGCGUCGUCUGCCGGGUGAAGCAGCCGCGGAAGCGAGUUGUGGACGGUUGACGAGUGAGAAUGCAGGCAUGAGUAGCGAUUCACACGUGAGAAACGUGUGCGCCGAUUGACUAAGGGUUCCUGGGUCAAGCUGAUCUGCCCAGGGUAAGUCGGGACCUAAGGCGAGGCCGACAGGCGUAGUCGAUGGAUAACCGGUUGAUAUUCCGGUACCCGCUGUGAAGCGUCAAACAUCGAAUCCAGUGAUGCUAAGCCCGUGAAGCCGCCGGCUGAGUCUUCGGACGAGGUCGGAGUGGUGGAGCCGGUGACCCGAGCUGGUAGUAGGUGAGUGAUGGGGUGACGCAGGAAGGUAGUCCAUCCCGGCGGUGGUUGUCCCGGGGUAAGGGUGUAGGACGUCAGGUAGGCAAAUCCGCCUGACACAUAGUCUGAGACCUGAUGCCGAGCCGAUUGUGGUGAAGUGGAUGAUCCUAUGCUGUCGAGAAAAGCCUCUAGCGAGUUUCAUGGCGGCCCGUACCCUAAACCGACUCAGGUGGUCAGGUAGAGAAUACCGAGGCGUUCGGGUGAACUAUGGUUAAGGAACUCGGCAAAAUGCCCCCGUAACUUCGGGAGAAGGGGGGCCAUCACUGGUGAUCCAAUUUACUUGGUGAGCUGGGGGUGGCCGCAGAGACCAGCGAGAAGCGACUGUUUACUAAAAACACAGGUCCGUGCGAAGCCGUAAGGCGAUGUAUACGGACUGACGCCUGCCCGGUGCUGGAACGUUAAGGGGACCGGUUAGUCGAGAUUCGUCUCGGCGAAGCUGAGAACUUAAGCGCCAGUAAACGGCGGUGGUAACUAUAACCAUCCUAAGGUAGCGAAAUUCCUUGUCGGGUAAGUUCCGACCUGCACGAAUGGCGUAACGACUUCUCGACUGUCUCAACCAUAGGCCCGUUGAAAUUGCACUACGAGUAAAGAUGCUCGUUUCGCGCAGCAGGACGGAAAGACCCCGGGACCUUUACUACAGUUUGAUAUUGGUGUUCGGUUCGGCUUGUGUAGGAUAGCUGGGAGACUGUGAAGCUCGGACGCCAGUUCGGGUGGAGUCGUCGUUGAAAUACCAGUCUGGUCGUGCUGGAUGUCUAACCUGGGUCCGUGAUCCGGAUCAGGACAGUGUCUGAUGGGUAGUUUAACUGGGCGGUUGCCUCCUAAAGGGUAACGGAGGCGCCCAAAGGUUCCCUCAGCCUGGUUGGCAAUCAGGUGUUGAGUGUAAGUGCACAAGGGAGCUUGACUGUGAGACCGACGGGUCGAGCAGGGACGAAAGUCGGGACUAGUGAUCCUGCGGUGGCUUGUGGAAGCGCCGUGCUCAACGGAUAAAAGGUACCCCGGGAUAACAGCUGAUCUUCCCAAGAGUCACAUCGCCCAAGAUCUUCCCCAAGAGUCCAUAUCGACGGGAUGGUUUGGCACCUCGAUGUCGGCUCGUCGCAUCCUGGGGCUGGAGUCGGUCCCAAGGGUUGGGCUGUUCGCCCAUUAAAGCGGUACGCGAGCUGGGUUUAGAACGUCGUGAGACAGUUCGGUCCCUAUCCGCUGUGCGCGUAGGAGUCUUGAGAAGGGCUGUCCCUAGUACGAGAGGACCGGGACGGACGAACCUCUGGUGUGCCAGUUGUUCUGCCAAGGGCAUGGCUGGUUGGCUACGUUCGGGAGGGAUAACCGCUGAAAGCAUCUAAGCGGGAAGCCUGCUUCGAGAUGAGGACUCCCACCCACUUGAUGGGGUAAGGCUCCCAGUAGACGACUGGGUUGAUAGGCCGGAUCUGGAAGCACAGUAAUGUGUGGAGGUGACCGGUACUAAUAGGCCGAGGGCUUGUCCUCAGUUG